This 336-nucleotide ribosomal RNA is filed under the name uncultured Leptolinea sp. RNAcentral describes it as "bacterial SSU rRNA". It matches the Rfam family "Bacterial small subunit ribosomal RNA", at positions 1032 to 1381 of the family's 1533-position model. The record is from RNAcentral. Lineage: Bacteria; Bacillati; Chloroflexota; Anaerolineae; Anaerolineales; Anaerolineaceae.
GCACAGGUGCUGCAUGGCUGUCGUCAGCUCGUGUCGUGAGAUGUUCGGUUAAGUCCGCUAACGAGCGCAACCCUCGUCGUGUGUUAUACGUGUCACACGAUACUGGCCGGUAUCAAGCCGGAGGAAGGUGGGGAUGAUGUCAAGUCAGCAUGGCCUUUAUAUCCUGGGCUACACACACGCUACAAUGGCAGGUACAAUAGGUUGCGAAACCGCGAGGUGGAGCCAAUCCUACAAAGUCUGUCUCAGUUCAGAUUGUAGGCUGCAACUCGCCUGCAUGAAGUUGGAGUUGCUAAGUAAACGCAGGUCAGCUAUACUGCGGUGAAUACGUCCGGGCUU